This 468-nucleotide ribosomal RNA is filed under the name uncultured bacterium. RNAcentral's name for it is "partial 16S ribosomal RNA". It matches the Rfam family "Bacterial small subunit ribosomal RNA", at positions 28 to 507 of the family's 1533-position model. The record is from RNAcentral.
GACGAACGCUGGCGGCGUGCUUAACACAUGCAAGUCGAACGGAAAGGCCCUGCUUUUGUGGGGUGCUCGAGUGGCGAACGGGUGAGUAACACGUGAGUAACCUGCCCUUGACUUUGGGAUAACUUCAGGAAACUGGGGCUAAUACCGGAUAGGAGCUCCUGCUGCAUGGUGGGGGUUGGAACGUUUCGGCGGUUGGGGAUGGACUCGCGGCUUAUCAGCUUGUUGGUGGGGUAGUGGCUUACCAAGGCUUUGACGGGUAGCCGGCCUGAGAGGGUGACCGGCCACAUUGGGACUGAGAGACGGCCCAGACGCCUACGGGAGGCAGCAGUGGGGAAUAUUGCACAAUGGGCGGAAGCCUGAUGCAGCAACGCCGCGUGCGGGAUGACGGCCUUCGGGUUGUAAACCGCUUUCGCCUGUGACGAAGCGUGAGUGACGGUAAUGGGUAAAGAAGCACCGGCUAACUACGUG